RNAcentral lists this ribosomal RNA (406 nucleotides) under uncultured bacterium. RNAcentral describes it as "partial 16S ribosomal RNA". It matches the Rfam family "Bacterial small subunit ribosomal RNA", at positions 30 to 526 of the family's 1533-position model. The record is from RNAcentral.
AUUGAACGCUGGCGGCAGGCCUAACACAUGCAAGUCGAACGAGUGGCGGACGGGUGAGUAAUGUCUGGGAAACUGCCUGCUGGAGGGGGAUAACUACUGGAAACGGUAGCUAAUACCGCAUACCAUCAGAUGUGCCCUGAUGGGAUUAGCUUGUUGGUGGGGGAACGGCUAACCAGGGCGACGAUCCCUAGCUGGUCUGAGAGGAUGACCAGCCCACAUGGAAUGGGGACACGGUCCAGACGCCUACGGGAGGCAGCAGUGGGGAAUAUUGCAUAAUGGGCGAAAGCCUGAUGCAGCCAUGCCGCGUGUAUGAAGAAGGCCUUCGGGUUGUAAAGUACUUUCAGCGGGGAGGCGUUACCCGCAGAGGAAGCACCGGCUAACUCCGUGCCAGCAGCCGCGGUAAUAC